GGAACGAACGCUGGCGGCAUGCCUAAUACAUGCAAGUCGAACGAGACCUUCGGGUCUAGUGGCGCACGGGUGCGUAACGCGUGGGAAUCUACCCUUGGGUUCGGAAUAACAGUUGGAAACGACUGCUAAUACCGGAUGAUGACGAAAGUCCAAAGAUUUAUCGCCCAGGGAUGAGCCCGCGUAGGAUUAGCUAGUUGGUGAGGUAAAGGCUCACCAAGGCUAACGAUCCUUAGCUGGUCUGAGAGGAUGAUCAGCCACACUGGGACUGAGACACGGCCCAGACUCCUACGGGAGGCAGCAGUGGGGAAUAGUUAGCACAAGUGGGCGAAAGCCUGAUGCAGCGACGCGCGUGGGGGAUGGACGGUCGUUACGGAUUCGUAAACCCCUUUGAGUACGGGACGAAGCGUACAAGUGACGUACCUGCAGAAGAAGCGACCGGACUAACGUACGUGCCAGCAGCCGACGGUAAU
Molecule: ribosomal RNA, 470 nt
Filed under: uncultured soil bacterium
Lineage: Bacteria
Description: bacterial SSU rRNA
Rfam family: Bacterial small subunit ribosomal RNA
Source: RNAcentral